AGCAACAAAUGCCCUGCUUCCAGGAAAAGCCUCUAAGCCUCAGGUAACAUCAGAUCGUACCCGAAACCGACACAGGUGGUCAGGUAGAGAAUACCAAGGCGCUUGAGAGAACCCGGGUGAAGGAACUAGGCAAAAUGGUGCCGUAACUUCGGGAGAAGGCACGCUGACACGUAGGUGAAGCGGUUUACCCGUGGAGCUGAAGUCAGUCGAAGAUACCAGCUGGCUGCAACUGUUUAUUAAAAACACAGCACUGUGCAAACACGAAAGUGGACGUAUACGGUGUGACGCCUGCCCGGUGCCGGAAGGUUAAUUGAUGGGGUCAGCGCAAGCGAAGCUCCUGAUCGAAGCCCCGGUAAACGGCGGCCGUAACUAUAACGGUCCUAAGGUAGCGAAAUUCCUUGUCGGGUAAGUUCCGACCUGCACGAAUGGCGUAAUGAUGGCCAGGCUGUCUCCACCCGGGACUCAGUGAAAUUGAACUCGCUGUGAAGAUGCAGUGUACCCGCGGCAAGACGGAAAGACCCCGUGAACCUUUACUAUAGCUUGACACUGAACACUGGUCCUUGAUGUGCAGGAUAGGUGGGAGGCUUUGAAGUGUGGACGCCAGUCUGCAUGGAGCCGUCCUUGAAAUACCACCCUUUAAUGGCUGGUGUUCUAACGUAGACCCGUGAACCGGGUUGCGGACAGUGUCUGGUGGGUAGUUUGACUGGGGCGGUCUCCUCCUAAAGCGUAACGGAGGAGCACGAAGGUUGGCUAAUCCUGGUCGGACAUCAGGAGGUUAGUGCAAUGGCAUAAGCCAGCUUGACUGCGAGCGUGACGGCGCGAGCAGGUGCGAAAGCAGGUCAUAGUGAUCCGGUGGUUCUGAAUGGAAGGGCCAUCGCUCAACGGAUAAAAGGUACUCCGGGGAUAACAGGCUGAUACCGCCCAAGAGUUCAUAUCGACGGCGGUGUUUGGCACCUCGAUGUCGGCUCAUCACAUCCUGGGGCUGAAGUAGGUCCCAAGGGUAUGGCUGUUCGCCAUUUAAAGUGGUACGCGAGCUGGGUUUAGAACGUCGUGAGACAGUUCGGUCCCUAUCUGCCGUGGGCGCUGGAGAACUGAGGGGGGCUGCUCCUAGUACGAGAGGACCGGAGUGGACGCAUCACUGGUGUUCGGGUUGUCAUGCCAAUGGCACUGCCCGGUAGCUAAAUGCGGAAGAGAUAAGUGCUGAAAGCAUCUAAGCACGAAACUUGCCCCGAGAUGAGUUCUCCCUGAGACUACAAGUCUCCUGAAGGAACGUUGAAGACGACGACGUUGAUAGGCCGGGUGUGUAAGCGCAGCGAUGCGUUGAGCUAACCGGUACUAAUGAACCGUGAGG
This 1351-nucleotide ribosomal RNA is filed under the name Salmonella enterica. RNAcentral's name for it is "partial 23S ribosomal RNA". It matches the Rfam family "Bacterial large subunit ribosomal RNA", at positions 1589 to 2916 of the family's 2925-position model. Lineage: Bacteria; Pseudomonadati; Pseudomonadota; Gammaproteobacteria; Enterobacterales; Enterobacteriaceae. The record is from RNAcentral.